This 465-nucleotide ribosomal RNA is filed under the name uncultured bacterium. RNAcentral's name for it is "partial 16S ribosomal RNA". It matches the Rfam family "Bacterial small subunit ribosomal RNA", at positions 339 to 795 of the family's 1533-position model. The record is from RNAcentral.
CUACGGGGGGCUCCAGUGGGGAAUAUUGGACAAUGGGGGAAACCCUGAUCCAGCAAUGCCGCGUGUGUGAAGAAGGCCUGCGGGUUGUAAAGCACUUUCGGUUGGGAGGACUGCUUCUAGCACUAAUAUUGUUGGAAGUUGACGUUACCUUCAGAAGAAGCACUGGCUAACUCCGUGCCAGCAGCCGCGGUAAUACGGAGGGUGCAAGCGUAAAUCGGAAUUACUGGGCGUAAAGCGCGCGUAGGCGGCUAGAUCAGUCGGGUGUGAAAGCCCCGGGCUUAACCUGGGAACUGCAUCCGAUACUGUCUAGCUUGAGUACAGGAGAGGAGAGUGGAAUUCCACAUGUAGCGGUGAAAUGCGUAGAUAUGUGGAGGAACACCAAUGGCGAAGGCAGCUCUCUGGCCUGAUACUGACGCUGAGGUGCGAAAGCGUGGGGAGCAAACAGGAUUAGAUACCCUCGUAGUC